AUGGUCCAGAUACUAUCACUCAUCCACAGCAAAAAAGGGACUUUGAGUAGCAUGCCCGACAUACCAGCUGACGUCACAAACCUAAAGGCAAAGUACCAUAGAGAGAGCAAGUUGGCUGACAUAGAGGCCACAAUAGCCUACUUCGAUGAGAAAGCGAAGGAAGAUCCAGAUUUCUUCUACAGGAUAAGAUUGGACGAUGAGGACCGUGUCAGGAACAUGUAUUGGGUGGAUGGUGCUGCAAGAAGAGCCUACAAACAUUUCCGAGAUUGCAUUUCAUUCGACGCGACAUAUGUCACUAAUAUGUACAAGAUGCCAUGCGCUCCAUUCAUAGGAAUAAAUAACCACAAUCAGUAA
RNAcentral lists this ribosomal RNA (354 nucleotides) under Triticum aestivum (bread wheat). Its description in RNAcentral is "partial small subunit ribosomal RNA". Lineage: Eukaryota; Viridiplantae; Streptophyta; Magnoliopsida; Poales; Poaceae. The record is from RNAcentral.